UACAGAGGUCUCGAGCGUUAGGCGGAAUCACUGGGCUUAAAGCGUGUGUAGGUGGAUCGUUAAGUACCUUGUGAAAUCCCACGGCUUAACCGUGGAACUGCUUGGUAUACUGGCGGUCUUGAGCCAGCUAGGGGCUACCGGAACAAAUGGUGGAGCGGUGAAAUGCGUAGAUAUCAUUUGGAACGCCAAUGGUGAAAACAGGUAGCUGGGGCUGUCCUGACACUGAGACACGAAAGCCAGGGGAGCAAACGGG
This 253-nucleotide ribosomal RNA is filed under the name uncultured bacterium. RNAcentral describes it as "partial 16S ribosomal RNA". It matches the Rfam family "Bacterial small subunit ribosomal RNA", at positions 524 to 776 of the family's 1533-position model. The record is from RNAcentral.